AUGUAUACGUAUGUAACAAACCUGCGCGUUGUGCACAUGUACCCUAGAACGGGUGAACAGCCUCCAUAUUCUGGAGUAGAGUCCUUCAUUCAUUCCUGAGUAUCCGGGAGGGAAUGCACAACAUUCUUAAUUGCACUUAUGAGGAGAGAACGUUCUCUUAACUUCUACUGGUUCUGGCAGGGUCUGGAAAAGGACUUGUGUCUUUGACCUUAAUUCAAUCAAGCCAGAUGGAGGAGGGAGACAAACAUUUUAAAGAAGCGCUUGGAAAAGAGAAGUUUUAUAGUGUUUUGAAUAUGCUGGUCUCUCAUCCUGGAGAUUCAGGCACCUACUUCUGUGCUUUGAGG
Homo sapiens (human) is the source of this 344-nucleotide non-coding RNA. Lineage: Eukaryota; Metazoa; Chordata; Mammalia; Primates; Hominidae. The record is from the annotation of a RefSeq genome assembly.